UACGGAGGAUGCGAGCGUUAUCCGGAUUUAUUGGGUUUAAAGGGUGCGUAGGUGGCUGUUUAAGUCAGCGGUGAAAGUUUGUGGCUCAACCAUAAAAUUGCCGUUGAAACUGGAUAGCUUGAGUAUGUUUGAAGUAGGCGGAAUGCGUGGUGUAGCGGUGAAAUGCUUAGAUAUCACGCAGAACUCCGAUUGCGAAGGCAGCUUACUAAACCAUAACUGACACUGAAGCACGAAAGCGUGGGGAUCGAACAGGAUUAGAUACCCU
This 265-nucleotide ribosomal RNA is filed under the name uncultured prokaryote. RNAcentral describes it as "partial 16S ribosomal RNA". It matches the Rfam family "Bacterial small subunit ribosomal RNA", at positions 524 to 788 of the family's 1533-position model. The record is from RNAcentral.